RNAcentral lists this ribosomal RNA (431 nucleotides) under Bacillus safensis. RNAcentral's name for it is "bacterial SSU rRNA". It matches the Rfam family "Bacterial small subunit ribosomal RNA", at positions 37 to 452 of the family's 1533-position model. The record is from RNAcentral. Lineage: Bacteria; Bacillati; Bacillota; Bacilli; Caryophanales; Bacillaceae.
CGUAUUGGCUUGCAUACGCUCUAUAAUGCAGUCGAGCGGACAGAAGGGAGCUUGCUCCCGGAUGUUAGCGGCGGACGGGUGAGUAACACGUGGGUAACCUGCCUGUAAGACUGGGAUAACUCCGGGAAACCGGAGCUAAUACCGGAUAGUUCCUUGAACCGCAUGGUUCAAGGAUGAAAGACGGUUUCGGCUGUCACUUACAGAUGGACCCGCGGCGCAUUAGCUAGUUGGUGAGGUAACGGCUCACCAAGGCGACGAUGCGUAGCCGACCUGAGAGGGUGAUCGGCCACACUGGGACUGAGACACGGCCCAGACUCCUACGGGAGGCAGCAGUAGGGAAUCUUCCGCAAUGGACGAAAGUCUGACGGAGCAACGCCGCGUGAGUGAUGAAGGUUUUCGGAUCGUAAAGCUCUGUUGUUAGGGAAGAACAA